Molecule: unclassified non-coding RNA, 411 nt
Filed under: Euphorbia amygdaloides
Lineage: Eukaryota; Viridiplantae; Streptophyta; Magnoliopsida; Malpighiales; Euphorbiaceae
Description: partial external transcribed spacer
Source: RNAcentral
UAGCAUUCCUCCGCGCCGUCCACGCCCGCACACAUCCACGAGGGGGAUCCCCCGAGGACGUGAGACGGGCUGGCCGGUCGUUUUUUCCGAGGGACUACGAGCUCAACGAGGAAACUUAAUCCCUCCGCUCGCACAGCGUUCCGCAUCCGAGAGCACGAGCGCAAUCCCGUGGGCCAACGCAGCCAAUUCGACAUGCGAGGAACACAAGACGCACCACACGGUUCAUCACGUGCCUACGAGAGGCACGAGAAGAAGGCAACGUUCGGCAACMGUAAAGAAUUCCGCUACGAGGGUAUGCAACACAUGAACCCAUCUUCUCCCGACAGCUCAAAAUGCCUACGGGCCGCGACUGAGCGGACGCCGGGCAAACAGUUCGAUGCUCGAGCAUGGAGCCUGCCAACCCUGACGACC